CCCCAAUAGGGAUAAGGAGCUGGUAUCAGGCACUAUUAAGCCCAAAACACCUAGCUAUGCCACACCUACAAGGGAAUUCAGCAGUGAUUAACAUUGACAAUAAGCGCAAGCUUGAUUCAGUCACAGUAAACAGAGCCGGCAAAUCUGGUGCCAGCCGCCGCGGUUACACCAUGUGGCUCAAAUUGAUUUCUACCGGCGUAAAGCGUGAUUAAAGCUAUUUUAAGUUGUAGUUAAACCGUAAUUAAGCUGUGACACGCUUAUUAUACUGAAACCCAAAAACGAAAGUUACUAUAAUAUAUUCAACUUGAACUCACGACAGCUGGGAAACAAACUGGGAUUAGAUACCCCACUAUGCCUAGCCGUAAACUUUAACUUACACUCAAAUCGCCUGGGAACUACGAGCAAAGCUUAAAACCCAAAGGACUUGACGGUACCCCACAUCCACCUAGAGGAGCCUGUCCUAUAAUCGAUAACCCCCGUUUAACCUCACCACUUCUAGCCAAUCAGCCUGUAUACCUCCGUCGUCAGCUUACCACGUGAGCGACUCUAGUGAGCUUGAUGUCCACUCGCCAAAACGUCAGGUCAAGGUGCAGCAUAUGAGAUGGGAAGAGAUGGGCUACACUUUCUAAUCUAGAAGAUACGAAAGACUAUUUAUGAAACCUAGUCAGAAGGCGGAUUUAGUAGUAAAAAGAGAUAAGAGAGCUCUUUUUAACAAGGCACUGGGGUGUGUACACACCGCCCGUCACCCUCCUCAAAGCCAAUAAAACAGUAUUUAACCACAAAAAGCAAAAAAGAAGAGGCAGNNNNNNNNNNNNNNNNNNNNNNNNNNNNNNNNNNNNUUGGAAA
This 846-nucleotide ribosomal RNA is filed under the name Ololygon sp. KAV15. RNAcentral describes it as "partial 12S small subunit ribosomal RNA". The stretch from base 1 to 754 matches the Rfam family "Bacterial small subunit ribosomal RNA", at positions 308 to 1533 of the family's 1533-position model. The record is from RNAcentral. Lineage: Eukaryota; Metazoa; Chordata; Amphibia; Anura; Hylidae.